AAAUUGAAGAGUUUGAUCAUGGCUCAGAUUGAACGCUGGCGGCAGGCCUAACACAUGCAAGUCGAGCGGUAGCACAGAGAGCUUGCUCUCGGGUGACGAGCGGCGGACGGGUGAGUAAUGUCUGGGAAACUGCCUGAUGGAGGGGGAUAACUACUGGAAACGGUAGCUAAUACCGCAUAAUGUCGCAAGACCAAAGUGGGGGACCUUCGGGCCUCAUGCCAUCAGAUGUGCCCAGAUGGGAUUAGCUAGUAGGUGGGGUAACGGCUCACCUAGGCGACGAUCCCUAGCUGGUCUGAGAGGAUGACCAGCCACACUGGAACUGAGACACGGUCCAGACUCCUACGGGAGGCAGCAGUGGGGAAUAUUGCACAAUGGGCGCAAGCCUGAUGCAGCCAUGCCGCGUGUGUGAAGAAGGCCUUCGGGUUGUAAAGCACUUUCAGCGGGGAGGAAGGCGAUAAGGUUAAUAACCUUGUCGAUUGACGUUACCCGCAGAAGAAGCACCGGCUAACUCCGUGCCAGCAGCCGCGGUAAUACGGAGGGUGCAAGCGUUAAUCGGAAUUACUGGGCGUAAAGCGCACGUAGGCGGUCUGUCAAGUCGGAUGUGAAAUCCCCGGGCUCAACCUGGGAACUGCAUUCGAAACUGGCAGGCUAGAGUCUUGUAGAGGGGGGUAGAAUUCCAGGUGUAGCGGUGAAAUGCGUAGAGAUCUGGAGGAAUACCGGUGGCGAAGGCGGCCCCCUGGACAAAGACUGACGCUCAGGUGCGAAAGCGUGGGGAGCAAACAGGAUUAGAUACCCUGGUAGUCCACGCCGUAAACGAUGUCGAUUUGGAGGUUGUGCCCUUGAGGCGUGGCUUCCGGAGCUAACGCGUUAAAUCGACCGCCUGGGGAGUACGGCCGCAAGGUUAAAACUCAAAUGAAUUGACGGGGGCCCGCACAAGCGGUGGAGCAUGUGGUUUAAUUCGAUGCAACGCGAAGAACCUUACCUGGUCUUGACAUCCACAGAACUUUCCAGAGAUGGAUUGGUGCCUUCGGGAACUGUGAGACAGGUGCUGCAUGGCUGUCGUCAGCUCGUGUUGUGAAAUGUUGGGUUAAGUCCCGCAACGAGCGCAACCCUUAUCCUUUGUUGCCAGCGGUUAGGCCGGGAACUCAAAGGAGACUGCCAGUGAUAAACUGGAGGAAGGUGGGGAUGACGUCAAGUCAUCAUGGCCCUUACGACCAGGGCUACACACGUGCUACAAUGGCAUAUACAAAGAGAAGCGACCUCGCGAGAGCAAGCGGACCUCAUAAAGUAUGUCGUAGUCCGGAUUGGAGUCUGCAACUCGACUCCAUGAAGUCGGAAUCGCUAGUAAUCGUAGAUCAGAAUGCUACGGUGAAUACGUUCCCGGGCCUUGUACACACCGCCCGUCACACCAUGGGAGUGGGUUGCAAAAGAAGUAGGUAGCUUAACCUUCGGGAGGGCGCUUACCACUUUGUGAUUCAUGACUGGGGUGAAGUCGUAACAAGGUAACCGUAGGGGAACCUGCGGUUGGAUCACCUCCUUACCUUAAAGAA
RNAcentral lists this ribosomal RNA (1550 nucleotides) under Klebsiella pneumoniae. Its description in RNAcentral is "bacterial SSU rRNA". It matches the Rfam family "Bacterial small subunit ribosomal RNA". The record is from RNAcentral. Lineage: Bacteria; Pseudomonadati; Pseudomonadota; Gammaproteobacteria; Enterobacterales; Enterobacteriaceae.